UCUUGAUCUCAGAUCAGGCAGGAUGACCCGCUGAACUUAAGCAUAUUAGUAAGCGGAGGAAAAGAAACUAACCAGGAUUCCCUUAGUAACGGCGAGUGAAGCGGGAAUAGCCCAAUCUGAAAAGCUAGUCUGCCCUGGAGCAGGUCUCGCAUUGUAGGUUGAUGAGGCGUUUCCUAGUGUUAAACCUUUCAAUUAAAGUUCCUUGGAACAGGACAUCAUAGAGGGUGAUAAUCCCGUGAUUGAUUGAACGACAUACCAGUUUAACACGUCUACGGAGCGUUUUCUUAGAGUCGGAAUGUUUGGGAUUGCAUUCCAAAGUGGGUGGUAAACUCCAUCUAAGGCUAAAUACUGGCGAGAGACCGAUAGCGAACAAGUACCGUGAGGGAAAGUUGAAAAGCACUCUGGAGAGAGAGUCAAAACAGUACGUGAAAUUGCUAGCAGGGAAACGUUGGGCACCAGUACACGGCAAUCAAUGUUAAUGAUCAGUCGGUCGAUUGGUGAAUUGUAAUGCGGCGGUUAUCCCCUUAGAGAUUGUCCUAUUAGCGGCGACUCACG
This 555-nucleotide ribosomal RNA is filed under the name Syncephalis cornu. RNAcentral describes it as "eukaryotic LSU rRNA". It matches the Rfam family "Eukaryotic large subunit ribosomal RNA", at positions 1 to 532 of the family's 3401-position model. Lineage: Eukaryota; Fungi; Zoopagomycota; Zoopagomycetes; Zoopagales; Piptocephalidaceae. The record is from RNAcentral.